AGCGAACGCUGGCGGCAGGCCUAACACAUGCAAGUCGAACGGAUCCUUCGGGAUUAGUGGCGGACGGGUGAGUAACACGUGGGAACGUGCCCUUUGGUUCGGAACAACUCAGGGAAACUUGAGCUAAUACCGGAUGUGCCCUUCGGCGGAAAGAUUUAUCGCCAUUGGAGCGGCCCGCGUCUGAUUAGCUAGUUGGUGAGGUAACGGCCCACCAAGGCGACGAUCAGUAGCUGGUCUGAGAGGAUGAUCAGCCACACUGGGACUGAGGCACGGCCCAGACUCCUACGGGAGGCAGGAGUGGGGAAUCUUGCGCAAUGGGCGAAAGCAUGACGCAGCCAUGCCGCGUGAAUGAUGAAGGUCUUAGGAUUGUAAAAUUCUUUCAGCGGGGACGAUAAUGACGGUACCCGCAGAAGAAGCUCCGGCUAACUUCGUG
RNAcentral lists this ribosomal RNA (433 nucleotides) under uncultured bacterium. RNAcentral's name for it is "partial 16S ribosomal RNA". It matches the Rfam family "Bacterial small subunit ribosomal RNA", at positions 29 to 507 of the family's 1533-position model. The record is from RNAcentral.